Molecule: ribosomal RNA, 372 nt
Filed under: uncultured organism
Description: bacterial SSU rRNA
Rfam family: Bacterial small subunit ribosomal RNA
Source: RNAcentral
CGUAGGGUGCGAGCGUUAAUCGGAAUUACUGGGCGUAAAGCGUGCGCAGGCGGUUUAGUAAGACAGGCGUGAAAUCCCCGGGCUCAACCUGGGGACUGCGCUUGUGACUGCUAAGCUAGAGUACGGCAGAGGGGGGUGGAAUUCCACGUGUAGCAGUGAAAUGCGUAGAGAUGUGGAGGAACACCAAUGGCGAAGGCAGCCCCCUGGGUCGAUACUGACGCUCAUGCACGAAAGCGUGGGUAGCAAACAGGAUUAGAUACCCUGGUAGUCCACGCCCUAAACGAUGUCAACUAGGUGUUGGGAGGGUAAAACCUUUUAGUACCGGAGCUAACGCGUGAAGUUGACCGCCUGGGGAGUACGGCCGCAAGGUUA